Molecule: ribosomal RNA, 465 nt
Filed under: uncultured bacterium
Lineage: Bacteria
Description: partial 16S ribosomal RNA
Rfam family: Bacterial small subunit ribosomal RNA
Source: RNAcentral
CUACGGGAGCCUGCAGUGAGGAAUUUUGCGCAAUGGGGGGAACCCUGACGCAGCAACGCCGCGUGAGUGAUGAAGGCUUUCGGGUCGUAAAGCUCUGUCAAGUGGGAAGAACCUAUGCAGUGUUAAUAUCACUGUAUACUGACGGUACCACUGAAGGAAGCACCGGCUAACUCCGUGCCAGCAGCCGCGGUAAUACGGGGGGUGCAAGCGUCAUUCGGAAUCAUUGGGCGUAAAGGGCACGUAGGCGGCUUGGUAAGUCAGAUGUGAAAGCCCGGGGCUUAACCCCGGAAGUGCAUUUGAUACUGUCAGGCUUGAGUAUGGGAGAGGGAAGUGGAAUUCCUGGUGUAGAGGUGAAAUUCGUAGAUAUCAGGAGGAACACCGGUGGCGAAGGCGACUUCCUGGACCAAUACUGACGCUGAGGUGCGAAGGCGUGGGUAGCAAACAGGAUUAGAUACCCCUGUAGUC